GCAUAGGUUAUGUGCCCCAUAGUCUGGGAUAGCCACUGGAAACGGUGAUUAAUACCGGAUACUCCUUACGAGGGAAAGUUUUUCGCUAUGGGAUCAGCCUAUGUCCUAUCAGCUUGUUGGUGAGGUAAUGGCUCACCAAGGCUAUGACGGGUAUCCGGCCUGAGAGGGUGAACGGACACACUGGAACUGAGACACGGUCCAGACUCCUACGGGAGGCAGCAGUAGGGAAUAUUGCUCAAUGGGCGAAAGCCUGAAGCAGCAACGCCGCGUGGAGGAUGAAGGUUUUAGGAUUGUAAACUCCUUUUGUUAGAGAAGAUUAUGACGGUAUCUCACG
Molecule: ribosomal RNA, 334 nt
Filed under: uncultured Helicobacter sp.
Lineage: Bacteria; Pseudomonadati; Campylobacterota; Epsilonproteobacteria; Campylobacterales; Helicobacteraceae
Description: bacterial SSU rRNA
Rfam family: Bacterial small subunit ribosomal RNA
Source: RNAcentral